UGGCUGGUAAUUUUAGCCUUUUGUGACACACCAGUUGGCAGGUACAGUGGUAGAGAACCAUGAGCCUUUCCCUAAAGCCUUCUCUCCCUCUGGGACACUCACAGACGUGUCUCUGUCUUAUCAGUCCCAGGGGAUCGUUCCCAAACAUUUCACAAUGAAAAUGUGCAGGAGGGCCUUCCCCCCCUGAAAAGGAGGGCCAGCUGUCAGAGGUAAUGACUGCCUGUGGACAUACAGAUGGCACUAGAGGUGCUCCCCGGGUCUAUCGCACACCUGAAGAAGGCAGUGUCCACUGCACAGCUGUUCCCGUAGGGGCAAACAGGGGGCAUGCUCCGUUCCCCAUCCUGAGGUUCAGCAUCCUUGCCAGGCUGGGAUAGACUUGGUCAGGAUGGACACAAAUGUCCCCAGAGCGUGCUAUGCUGAUGGAGAAGCAGGCAUGCUGCAGUGCAUACAGCACCAGGUCCCAGGAGAUGGUCCUCUGCAGUUACUGUCUACUCCGUGCUUUUAUCCCUCCAUUGCUCAUCGCGUUCAGUGGCGGCCAGGAGCAAAACGUAACUUGCUGCAUGACUGACAGCCUUUAAAGAACCUCAGCAGACCUUGGGCCUUAUUUUGAAAGGCCCCUGAAAGAAAAAGGAUUGUGUGCUCUCUGAAUGUGAGGCCGCUGAACUGCUGCCAACUCCGGGCUGCUCCAUUCAAAGGGCUGAGUGAAUAAAUGAGAAUAACAUCCUUGGGGACCUCGAGGAUCGGUUUACGCUGAAAAUCCUCAGCCUUACAAAGGGUCAGAGUCACAAGCAUUUCCUUGCACUGGCAAGACUUUGGAGUCCCCUGCGAGCAGUUUGCGUGGGAGUCAAACGAUUUUUUAUCCAGAGCUGUGGAUUUAACUUCAGCCUUCAGAGGGCAGCCCAGGGCAGGAGACAGCCCUUCACGCCUGAGUGGGCCUACAUGUGUUUUGCUGCUACCUGAGCAAGGCCUUGCAGGGCCGGCCAGGAGUGAACACCCCUCAUCCGCCAUUUGGCCAGCCCUGAGACCUCCUCGUGGGUGAUACCCAGACCCUCCUGUAACGUUGUGAUCCAAGCCAUUUCCAAGACAGCAUUACUGAUUCAUGGUGUUACUAUCCACACGGUGUGGUCAUGCAAGGCGAUACCCAAGCGCAGCUCUCGGGUCGUGACGGAGACGUGAGGUGACAGUCCGUUGUGUGGAGUCUGUCGGAAAGGGAGGAAAGGCACCCUUUUGCUGUGCUCUGUGUCUGUGCGAUACAAGUUUGCCUGUAGAGGUGGGUACUGUGCUUCUCUUUUAAGAAAUGAAAAAUAAAAAUCACUUCUUCAGUAAUUCAUGUAAAACCCUCUCUCUCUCGCUCAAGUUUUCACAGGGAUUAGUUCUGCUGGUGUGAAACGUGGAGGAUGGAGAAAAUGAGUUGAGAGUGCCUCCCCCAAACAGCACGUGACUUGUUCUAUUUCAUUCUAAAACCCAAUAAAAGUAAUUUAGAUGCA
Anas platyrhynchos (mallard) is the source of this 1487-nucleotide non-coding RNA. The record is from RefSeq and is a predicted model, not a curated record. NCBI's taxonomy places the organism in Eukaryota, Metazoa, Chordata, Aves, Anseriformes, Anatidae.